This 1069-nucleotide ribosomal RNA is filed under the name Faecalibacterium prausnitzii. Its description in RNAcentral is "bacterial SSU rRNA". It matches the Rfam family "Bacterial small subunit ribosomal RNA", at positions 1 to 1085 of the family's 1533-position model. Lineage: Bacteria; Bacillati; Bacillota; Clostridia; Eubacteriales; Oscillospiraceae. The record is from RNAcentral.
UUUAUAAAGAGUUUGAUCCUGGCUCAGGACGAACGCUGGCGGCGCGCCUAACACAUGCAAGUCGAACGAGAGAGAGGGAGCUUGCUUCCUCAAUCGAGUGGCGAACGGGUGAGUAACGCGUGAGGAACCUGCCUCAAAGAGGGGGACAACAGUUGGAAACGACUGCUAAUACCGCAUAAGCCCACGACCCGGCAUCGGGUAGAGGGAAAAGGAGCAAUCCGCUUUGAGAUGGCCUCGCGUCCGAUUAGCUAGUUGGUGAGGUAACGGCCCACCAAGGCGACGAUCGGUAGCCGGACUGAGAGGUUGAACGGCCACAUUGGGACUGAGACACGGCCCAGACUCCUACGGGAGGCAGCAGUGGGGAAUAUUGCACAAUGGGGGAAACCCUGAUGCAGCGACGCCGCGUGGAGGAAGAAGGUCUUCGGAUUGUAAACUCCUGUUGUUGAGGAAGAUAAUGACGGUACUCAACAAGGAAGUGACGGCUAACUACGUGCCAGCAGCCGCGGUAAAACGUAGGUCACAAGCGUUGUCCGGAAUUACUGGGUGUAAAGGGAGCGCAGGCGGGAAGACAAGUUGGAAGUGAAAUCCAUGGGCUCAACCCAUGAACUGCUUUCAAAACUGUUUUUCUUGAGUAGUGCAGAGGUAGGCGGAAUUCCCGGUGUAGCGGUGGAAUGCGUAGAUAUCGGGAGGAACACCAGUGGCGAAGGCGGCCUACUGGGCACCAACUGACGCUGAGGCUCGAAAGUGUGGGUAGCAAACAGGAUUAGAUACCCUGGUAGUCCACACUGUAAACGAUGAUUACUAGGUGUUGGAGGAUUGACCCCUUCAGUGCCGCAGUUAACACAAUAAGUAAUCCACCUGGGGAGUACGACCGCAAGGUUGAAACUCAAAGGAAUUGACGGGGGCCCGCACAAGCAGUGGAGUAUGUGGUUUAAUUCGACGCAACGCGAAGAACCUUACCAAGUCUUGACAUCCUGCGACGGUGCUGGAAACAGUACUUUCCUUCGGGACGCAGAGACAGGUGGUGCAUGGUUGUCGUCAGCUCGUGUCGUGAGAUGUUGGGUUAAGU